CAAUAGCGUAUAUUAAAGUUGUUGCAGUUAGAACGCUCGUAGUCGGAUUUCGGGGCGGGCCGACCGGUCUGCCGAUGGGUAUGCACUGGUCGGCGCGUCCUUCCUUCCGGAGACCGUCCCUACUCUUAACUGAGCGGGGGCGGGAGACGGGACUUUUACUUUGAAAAAAUCAGAGUGUUUCAAGCAGGCAGCUCGCUCUUGCAUGGAUUAGCAUGGGAUAAUGAAAUAGGACUUUGGUGCUAUUUUGUUGGUUUCGAACACCGAAGUAAUGAUGAGAAGGGACAGUCAGGGGCACUCGUAUUCCGCAGAGAGAGGUGAAAUUCUCAGACCCGCGGAAGACGAACCACUGCGAAAGCAUUUGCCAGGGAUGUUUUCACUGA
This 380-nucleotide ribosomal RNA is filed under the name uncultured eukaryote. RNAcentral's name for it is "partial 18S ribosomal RNA". It matches the Rfam family "Eukaryotic small subunit ribosomal RNA", at positions 592 to 976 of the family's 1831-position model. The record is from RNAcentral.